CCCGAAGGUGGUCGGCGGCUACACGACCGCCUGCCGCGACCGGGCGACCGAGUUCUACGCGCGGUUCGUCGAGCGGGUCGUCCCCGUCUCCGGAAC
RNAcentral lists this transfer RNA (96 nucleotides) under Herbidospora sp. NBRC 101105. Its description in RNAcentral is "tRNA-Arg". Lineage: Bacteria; Bacillati; Actinomycetota; Actinomycetes; Streptosporangiales; Streptosporangiaceae. The record is from RNAcentral.